Molecule: unclassified non-coding RNA, 344 nt
Filed under: soil metagenome
Description: partial contains 5.8S ribosomal RNA, internal transcribed spacer 2, and large subunit ribosomal RNA
Rfam family: 5.8S ribosomal RNA (bases 1-121)
Source: RNAcentral
GAUGAAGAACGUAGUGAAAUGCGAUAAGUAAUGCGAAUUGCAGAAUUUCCGUGAGUCAUCGAAUCUUUGAACGCACAUUGCGCCCACUGGUAUUCCGGUGGGCAUGCCUGUUCGAGCGUCAUUAUCCUCCCUCAAACCCCGGGUUUGGUGUUGGACCCAAGUUGUGUGAACAACUGGUCUUAAAGACAAUGACGGCGUCCGUGGGACCCUCGGUGCAACGAGCUUUUAGGAGCACGCAUCGAGUUGCAAGGACCUUCCGGGCCGGUCUCCUUUACUAUUUUACAAGGUUGACCUCGGAUCAGGUAGGAAUACCCGCUGAACUUAAGCAUAUCAAUAACGGAGGA